AUGGCUGCUACAAUGAUCAGACCUCAUGAGGUUUUGAUUGCUUUUCUAAUCCUAACAGUGAACUGGACAGGUACUGAUGGUCAAACACUGACUGAGUCUCAACCAGUGAUUAAAAGACCUGGAGAAUCCCACAGACUGACCUGCAAAUAUUCUGGGUUUAGUAGCACUCCUCAUGUAGCUUGGAUCAGACAGGCAGCUGGUAAAGGACUGGAAUGGAUUGCUUGGAUCUACUACGACAGCAGAAGCACCUACUACUCUGACUCAGUCAGAAACCGUUUCACCAUCUCCAGAGAGAACAGCAGAAAUCAGGUUUAUCUGCAGAUGAACAGUCUUACAGCUGGAGAUUCUGCUGUUUAUUACUGUGCUCGAGAGACACAGUGA
Molecule: non-coding RNA, 381 nt
Organism: Cyprinodon variegatus (sheepshead minnow)
Lineage: Eukaryota; Metazoa; Chordata; Actinopteri; Cyprinodontiformes; Cyprinodontidae
Source: the annotation of a RefSeq genome assembly